Molecule: ribosomal RNA, 253 nt
Filed under: uncultured bacterium
Lineage: Bacteria
Description: partial 16S ribosomal RNA
Rfam family: Bacterial small subunit ribosomal RNA
Source: RNAcentral
UACGUAGGGGGCAAGCGUUGUCCGGAUCUAUUGGGCGUAAAGAGCGUGUAGGCGGCUUUACAGGUCCGUUGUGAAAACUCGAGGCUCAACCUCGAGACGCCGGUGGAAACCGUAAAGCUAGAGUCCGGAAGAGGAGAGUGGAAUUCCUGGUGUAGCGGUGAAAUGCGCAGAUAUCAGGAGGAACACCCGUGGCGAAAGCGGCUCUCUGGGACGGUACUGACGCUGAGACGCGAAAGCGUGGGGAGCAAACAGG